RNAcentral lists this ribosomal RNA (274 nucleotides) under uncultured bacterium. RNAcentral's name for it is "partial 16S ribosomal RNA". It matches the Rfam family "Bacterial small subunit ribosomal RNA", at positions 523 to 796 of the family's 1533-position model. The record is from RNAcentral.
AUACGGAGGGUGCGAGCGUUAAUCGGAAUUACUGGGCGUAAAGGGCGCGUAGGUGGUUAGGUCAGUCGGAUGUGAAAGCCCCGGGCUCAACCUGGGAAUGCCAUUCGAUACUGCCUAACUAGAGUAUGGUAGAGGGAAGCGGAAUUCCGGGUGUAGCGGUGAAAUGCGUAGAUAUCCGGAGGAACACCAGUGGCGAAGGCGGCUUCCUGGAUCAAUACUGACACUGAGGCGCGAAAGCGUGGGGAGCAAACAGGAUUAGAAACCCCAGUAGUCC